This 911-nucleotide ribosomal RNA is filed under the name Mycobacterium pseudoshottsii. RNAcentral's name for it is "bacterial SSU rRNA". It matches the Rfam family "Bacterial small subunit ribosomal RNA", at positions 67 to 979 of the family's 1533-position model. Lineage: Bacteria; Bacillati; Actinomycetota; Actinomycetes; Mycobacteriales; Mycobacteriaceae. The record is from RNAcentral.
CGGAAAGGUCUCUUCGGAGACACUCGAGUGGCGAACGGGUGAGUAACACGUGGGCGAUCUGCCCUGCACUUCGGGAUAAGCCUGGGAAACUGGGUCUAAUACCGGAUAGGACCACGGGAUUCAUGUCCUGUGGUGGAAAGCUUUUGCGGUGUGGGAUGGGCCCGCGGCCUAUCAGCUUGUUGGUGGGGUAACGGCCUACCAAGGCGACGACGGGUAGCCGGCCUGAGAGGGUGUCCGGCCACACUGGGACUGAGAUACGGCCCAGACUCCUACGGGAGGCAGCAGUGGGGAAUAUUGCACAAUGGGCGCAAGCCUGAUGCAGCGACGCCGCGUGGGGGAUGACGGCCUUCGGGUUGUAAACCUCUUUCACCAUCGACGAAGGUUCGGGUUUUCUCGGAUUGACGGUAGAUGGAGAAGAAGCACCGGCCAACUACGUGCCAGCAGCCGCGGUAAUACGUAGGGUGCGAGCGUUGUCCGGAAUUACUGGGCGUAAAGAGCUCGUAGGUGGUUUGUCGCGUUGUUCGUGAAAUCUCACGGCUUAACUGUGAGCGUGCGGGCGAUACGGGCAGACUAGAGUACUGCAGGGGAGACUGGAAUUCCUGGUGUAGCGGUGGAAUGCGCAGAUAUCAGGAGGAACACCGGUGGCGAAGGCGGGUCUCUGGGCAGUAACUGACGCUGAGGAGCGAAAGCGUGGGGAGCGAACAGGAUUAGAUACCCUGGUAGUCCACGCCGUAAACGGUGGGUACUAGGUGUGGGUUUCCUUCCUUGGGAUCCGUGCCGUAGCUAACGCAUUAAGUACCCCGCCUGGGGAGUACGGCCGCAAGGCUAAAACUCAAAGGAAUUGACGGGGGCCCGCACAAGCGGCGGAGCAUGUGGAUUAAUUCGAUGCGACGCGAAGAACCUUACCUGGG